This 2635-nucleotide long non-coding RNA is filed under the name Nicotiana benthamiana. Its description in RNAcentral is "long non-coding RNA (NBEN_LNC042386)". The record is from RNAcentral. Lineage: Eukaryota; Viridiplantae; Streptophyta; Magnoliopsida; Solanales; Solanaceae.
GAUGAGGGUCUAAAAAAAAGGGGGUGAGGGUCAUCGGCAUGGCCUUAGAGGCAGGUUCUUUUUACUUUUCCUUAUGUCACGUGAUUAGUAUGGAAAUGGUGUUUAACUUUGCUCCCCACCCCCUCUUUUUUAGACCCUCAUCCUGGGGGUAGAAAGGGAUCUUCUUGAACGAAAGAGGAGAGCGAUGCGGAGCUCGGGAGGGCUAUCGCCCGUAACAGCGAGCUGGAGGUCCUACUGAAGGCGAGGGAGGAUGAACUUGAACUGAGUCGAGGGGUGAGGGCAGAGAAUGACGAGCUGCAGCUGAAGGUGGCCGGCUUGAACACCAAGCUAAAUUCCAAGACGGUGGAGAUCGACGGUCUAAAGGGCGAGUUAAAUGCCAAUGCUAAUAAGUUAGCCGCCGCCAUUUCCAAAACGGUAUCACUAAAAUGCCCUCCGCACAUGCAGAUCGAAAUUGACCCGGGAAAGAGAGGCCUCCGGUCACCGGGUAGGGGAACUCGAAAGGCGUAUUAGGGAGUUAGGGGCAGAGUUGUCUGCUUCGCAAAGGAAAGUAGCUCCACCGUGGGCAGAGGAAAUAGAUUGCCGUUCUAGGCCCUCUACAUCUCAUCCUCAGGCUGGUCAGGGCUUGCCUCGUUGCUUGUAUGAUAUGUGGGUUUAUUUGGAGGCUCGGCUUGACAUAUAUAGAGCCUUUUACACCGAGGGCCGGUCGAUAGAGGUGGAGGUUCAGACGGUGCAUACUAAAGCACGUACAGCUCGUGAGUUGUGCGGGUAUGACCCUGACAAUCCAGACGGGGAGGGUGUCUCCUCUGAUUACGUGAAUCGCUUUGAUUCGAACUCGUGGUAUGAAGACUCCUACCAUACUUGAGCCGACCAAUAGUUUUUAGUUUGUACAUUUUGUUUAAGAAUUUUUGGGUGUGGGUUGUGUCAGCACGUGAUUUUUGCCCUAUAUGAAUUACUCCCAUAAUUCAAAACAAAAUAAUUUCUUUUUAUUACUUUCAAUGUUGUGGAUUUUUCGUGGCAUUUUAUGUCAACUGCUUGCAUUUUAAUUCAAAAAAAAGACAAAAAAACAUAAAAUACAAAUAUAUUUUGCAUUUGGAGUUUAGGACUUAACUUUGCAUUUCACAAUUAUUUGGUAAUUAAGUCAUUUCAUAAAAGAAAAUUACAAAAAUUGUUUUAGGUCGCAUUUUUAAUUUUUGAUUUCGAUUUUAAGUAGUGUUUCUUUCAAACUUGUUUUGCAAUAAUUAUCAUAUGUGUUUAAUUAGUUUCUUGGGGUUAAUUGAGUUUUCAGAAUUAAUUUAGAUGUGUUUGUAGUUUUAAAUUUAAAAAAUGGGAUAAAGAAAUAAAAAGAAAAGGGAGAAAGGGGGGAAGGAGACCCUUUGGGCUGCUUCGGCCCAAUUCCCACAAGCCCAGUACCCCCUUAACCCAGACCCAUUCCCCAAACCAAUGGAAUUGACUCUAUCUCUAUACCCACUCUAACAUAACCCAAAAUCUCACAGAACCCCUAAAAUCAACGCGUACUGUUGUUCUUCUCCGAAGAAUACGCGAACCAAGCCCCAAAUUCCGUUCAAAUCCGGGCGAGUGAAUCCCAAAUCCCUAAUUCACGCAUCCCUUCUUCUCUCAUCUCACCAUUUAUGAUGAUUUCUGACACUAAAGAUUCUCCCCCUUCACUCGCUCAAGUCGGAGAUGAAGCACGCAAUUGGAAGGUCCUAGAGAUGGAUUGUUGGAUGAGGAUAAGUCGUUGGAUUGACUUCGUUCAAUCCCAGCCCCAUUUUCAUCAAGGGUUCGUCUCUAUAAAGGACGAUAUCCGAUUUUAAGAGCUGGGUUUUUUUUUGGACGAGAGGAUCUGAAGGGAGAUUCGAGAGGAAGUAAAAUUCUAGAGAUUAGUCUUCUUCAUAUUUAUUGUUGGUCUUCACUCGUAGCGUUAAUUUACAAACAUAUACAAAAAUGUUUGAUAUUUUUUUAUUUUAAUGUUGUUCGGUUCACUAUCGACCAACUUCGAAAUACAUGAAUUCCGUCGUCAAAGUUACUGGAAUUCGUUGUUGAUCGAGGCAUCGAUUUGUGGCUGUUGCACUGUGUCGAUUUCAAGUGUUGAGAUUCCUUCAAAUUUUUUCAUCCCAGGUUCACCUCUACUCCUUAUUUUAUUUCUAUUAUGAAGUGAGUCCUGGAAGGCCCUGGACGGAUUGUAAAAUGAAUUCAGUUAUGAUAGUAGAUGAGGUUUGUAUGGUUAUCUUCAAUUUCAUUUAUUGUUAUGCUUUUACGUUUUCCAUGAGUUCAUAUGUUAUUGAGUCAGUUUCUAAAUAGUCGAAGAUUAAAUGUGUUUGGUUUCAACAUCGUAUUUGUGUUUGUAUUGACUUUGUAGAUUGUUUUUGGUAUCAUCUUUCGGAUUAGACUUGCUUCGAACAUGACUCAUGCUGAUGUUGCAAACUUGGUAGAUUGGUAUCCUUAUAUAGUGUCAAGGUUGUUUCCCUGUUGCAUCUGUUCGAGAAUAAGCUUUGAUGAGCAUAAAUUGCUGAUGUUUGAAUCAUGAAUGAGUGUUUAAGUCGCCUUUGAGAUGCUGAGAAUUGGAUACCAUCAUAUAACCUAGAUUCUAACUGUCACCAAUUCUUCUCGUUUUCUCUCUUUGCUAGUUUUGGUUUUC